Molecule: long non-coding RNA, 1050 nt
Organism: Oncorhynchus tshawytscha (Chinook salmon)
Lineage: Eukaryota; Metazoa; Chordata; Actinopteri; Salmoniformes; Salmonidae
Source: Ensembl
GGCGGAUUAGUUGGUGCUCUUAUAACUGUUUGUGGGGUUAGUAUCCUUGUGACAAUGGGGAAUGUUUUGUGCAACAGCAGUCUUGUGUCUUAGUCAUGGGGUGUAUUGUGCAAGCUUUAAUCCUAUGGUCACAAGCAGGCUCUAAAGCAGCCUGAGGGCACUAAGGCCACCUAAAUGAUGCUUAAUAUAUGUGCUUGAUAUAUGAGCUAUGUAUAUGAAUAUAUGUAUAUAUGACAAAACUAACGAUAUAUCAUGAAGAGAUAUGUGAAAAACACCUUGAGGAUUGAUUCUAAACAACGUUUACCAUGUUUCAGUCGAUAUUAUGGAGUUAAUUUGGAAAAAAGUUCGGCGUUUUGAAGACUGAAUUUGUUUUGGUAGCCAAACGUGACGCACCAAACGGAGCAAUUUCUCCUAAACAAAUAAUCUUUCAGGAAAAACUGAGCAUUUGCUAUCUAACUGAGAGUCUCCUCAUUGAAAACAUCUGAAGUUCUUCAAAGCCCUAGGACCGUGCCUCAGGACAACCUGACCUGAUGACUCCUUGCUGUCCCCAGUCCACCUGGCCAUGCUGCUGCUCCAGUUUCAACUGUUUUGUCUGCGGCUAUGGAACCCUGACCUGUUCACCGGACGUGCUACCUUGUCCUGGACCUGCUGUUUUCAACUCUCUAGAGACAGCAGGAGCGGUAGAGAUACUCUGAAUGAUCGGCUUUGAAAAGUGUGUGUUAAUGUUAAUGUAAUGUAACUAGGUGCAGCUGUUAUGCUGAGCAAACAUAAGAACAAUAAUUACAUUAAUAGGAAGUAAUAAGGACAAUAAUUGCAUUGGCCAGAUGGAGAAAUGGUGUCACCUAGUGCAUUUGCCAUUUCUGAGUAAGAUAACAUGCCAAGGGCAUAAUUCAUGAUGUACCCAUAUGCUGCAUGUGUAUAAGAGCAGAGCCAGUGCUCAGGAAGGUUGGUUGUUACACGGAUCAGCACGGCUUUACUACUCUGUAUUAAAGUCUAUAUUGAAUUCACAAAUUCUUGUAAGAGUGUUAUAUUUCUGAGGCAAUAUUCCAC